RNAcentral lists this ribosomal RNA (253 nucleotides) under uncultured bacterium. RNAcentral describes it as "partial 16S ribosomal RNA". It matches the Rfam family "Bacterial small subunit ribosomal RNA", at positions 524 to 776 of the family's 1533-position model. The record is from RNAcentral.
UACGUAGGGGGCAAGCGUUGUCCGGAAUCAUUGGGCGUAAAGCGCGUGUAGGCGGCUCGGUAAGUCCGCUGUGAAAGUCCAGGGCUCAACCCUGGAAUGCCGGUGGAAACUGUCGAGCUAGAGUCCGGAAGAGGCGAGUGGAAUUCCUGGUGUAGCGGUGAAAUGCGCAGAUAUCAGGAGGAACACCAAUGGCGAAGGCAGCUCGCUGGGACGGUACUGACGCUGAGGAGCGAAAGCGUGGGGAGCGAACAGG